GCUCAUAUAUCUAAUAAUUAAGAGCUGGGUUCUUACCUCAGUAAUGUGGUUGCCACUGUGGGUU
This 64-nucleotide transfer RNA is filed under the name Echinococcus canadensis. RNAcentral describes it as "tRNA-Lys". Lineage: Eukaryota; Metazoa; Platyhelminthes; Cestoda; Cyclophyllidea; Taeniidae. RNAcentral also lists the same sequence under 2 other names. The record is from RNAcentral.